RNAcentral lists this ribosomal RNA (221 nucleotides) under uncultured bacterium. RNAcentral's name for it is "partial 16S ribosomal RNA". It matches the Rfam family "Bacterial small subunit ribosomal RNA", at positions 15 to 220 of the family's 1533-position model. The record is from RNAcentral.
GAUCAUGGCUCAGGAUGAACGCUAGCGACAGGCCUAACACAUGCAAGUCGAGGGGCAGCGGAGAGGUAGCAAUACCUUUGCCGGCGACCGGCGCACGGGUGAGUAACACGUAUGCAAUCCACCUGUAACAGGGGGAUAACCCGGAGAAAUCCGGACUAAUACCCCACUAAUAUGGGCGUCUCCGCAUGGAGGGGUUUCGUAUUAAAGAAGAGCAUUUAGUU